This 180-nucleotide ribosomal RNA is filed under the name uncultured bacterium. RNAcentral's name for it is "partial 16S ribosomal RNA". It matches the Rfam family "Bacterial small subunit ribosomal RNA", at positions 338 to 508 of the family's 1533-position model. The record is from RNAcentral.
CCUACGGGAGGCAGCAGUAGGGAAUCUUCGGCAAUGGGGGCAACCCUGACCGAGCAACGCCGCGUGAGUGAAGAAGGUUUUCGGAUCGUAAAGCUCUGUUGUAAGUCAAGAACGGGGUGUGAGAGUGGAAAGUUCACACUGUGACGGUAGCUUACCAGAAAGGGACGGCUAACUACGUGC